UAAAGAAAAUGGCAAACUUAUCGAAAGGUAGGGACGCAAAACUUCAGGCCUAAGGCAGAAAUGUGAUGGCAGCUGGGUUACCUAA
Molecule: non-coding RNA, 85 nt
Filed under: Litchfieldia salsa
Lineage: Bacteria; Bacillati; Bacillota; Bacilli; Caryophanales; Bacillaceae
Description: Bacillus sp. A24(2010) c-di-GMP-I riboswitch aptamer
Rfam family: c-di-GMP-I riboswitch aptamer
About the family: GEMM was predicted in a large-scale screen for bacterial structured RNA regulatory elements. Genes associated with GEMM are involved in a diverse array of functions, including chemotaxis regulation, signal transduction, secretion and chitin.
Source: Rfam by way of RNAcentral